UAGCAUAUCAAUAAGCGGAGGAAAAGAAACUAACGAGGAUUCCCCUAGUAACUGCGAGUGAAGCGGGAAAAGCUCAAAUUUGAAAUCUGGCAGUCUCUGGCUGUCCGAGUUGUAAACUAGAGAAGUGUUACCCGCGUUGGACCGUGUACAAGUCUCCUGGAAUGGAGCGUCAUAGAGGGUGAGAAUCCCGUCUUUGACACGGACUACCAAGGCUUUGUGGUACGCUCUCAAAGAGUCGAGUUGUUUGGGAAUGCAGCUCAAAAUGGGUGGUAAAUGCCAUCUAAAGCUAAAUAUUGGCGAGAGACCGAUAGCGAACAAGUACCGUGAGGGAAAGAUGAAAAGAACUUUGGAAAGAGAGUUAAACAGUACGUGAAAUUGCUGAAAGGGAAACGCUUAAAGUCAGUCGCGUCGGCUUGGAAUCAACCUUGCUUUUGCUGGGUGUACUUCCUUGUCGAUGGGUCAACAUCAGUUUUGACCGGUGGAUAAAGUCAGUCGGAAUGUGGCUCCCUCGGGAGUGUUAUAGCCUUCUGUCGCAUACAUCGGUUGGGACUGAGGACCGCAGCACGCCGUAAGGCCUGGUUUCGACCAAGUUCGUGCUUAGGAUGUUGGCAUAAUGGCUUUAAUCGACCCGUCUUGAAACACGGACCAAGGAGUCUAACAUGCCUGCGAGUGUUUGGGUGGUAAACCCUUGCGCGUAAUGAAAGUGAAAGUUGAGAUCCCUGUCGUGGGGAGCAUCGACGCCCAGACCAGAGCUUUUGUGACGGAUCUGCGGUAGAGCAUGUGUGUUGGGACCCGAAAGAUGGUGAACUAUGCCUGAAUAGGGUGAAGCCAGAGGAAACUCUGGUGGAGGCUCGUAGCGAUUCUGACGUGCAAAUCGAUCGUCAAAUUUGGGUAUAGGGGCGAAAGACUAAUCGA
RNAcentral lists this ribosomal RNA (915 nucleotides) under Crepidotus crocophyllus. RNAcentral's name for it is "partial large subunit ribosomal RNA". It matches the Rfam family "Eukaryotic large subunit ribosomal RNA", at positions 36 to 938 of the family's 3401-position model. Lineage: Eukaryota; Fungi; Basidiomycota; Agaricomycetes; Agaricales; Crepidotaceae. The record is from RNAcentral.